AUACGAGGUACCUAGAGCAGUCAGAUUCAUAGAAGCAGAAAGCAAAAGCUGGUUGUCAGGGGCUGGGGGGAGAGGGGAUGAGGAGGUGGUAUUCAACGGGUAUAGAGUUUUAGUUUUGCAAGAUGAAAAAGUUCUGGAGAUGGGCUGCACAACGACACGAACCCACUUACUCUGAACUGUACACUUAACAAUAGUUAAGAUGGUAAAUUUUAUGUAAUGAAUAUUUUACAACAAUUAACAAUUAAAAAAAAAAAUCACCUGAUGUACAAUAUUUAUAGAGCAUCCUAUGCGUCCAGAUGAAGUGAGGCGAAAAGACCAAAAGUCGGGACUCAGAUGAGAGGCUGCUUCAGAACCCCAGCCGUGGCCCACUAAGUGUCUAAGCUGAGGAACGGCAUAAGAAAAGGAAUAAUGGAUGGACCCCUUAAGGGAGGAACUGUCAGAACUUUGACACACGAGGGCAGCCUCCAUGCCAGCUCCUAACAAAAAGCCUGGCAUGGAAGCGGUCCUCAACAAAUAUUGGUGAGAUGAAUAAAUACCGGUAAGGAGAGAAACAGAAAAGAUACCCCUAAGAUUUCUAACUUGGUAUCCAGAUGAACAGCUUUACUACAGACAGAAACUGCGCAGGUGGGAUGGGGAGAGUGUUUGAAGGUGAUGACGAGAUCGGUUUUAGACAAGUAGGACUUUACACGACACAGGCAUUUACAGUUGGAAACGCAGGGCUGCAAUGCAAAGGGAAGGUCAAAGUUGGAGACAGGAAUGUGGACAUCACAGUCACAGAAGACGAGUUCACGAAAGGUGGAUGAACUCAUCAAAUAAAUGAGUCAAAAAACCAAAGAGCUGAGGAUGGAGACGAGCGUCUGAGCGACCUGGUGAAGGAAAUACGUAAACUGAGAGGCGGCAGCAUCCAGGUGGAAGGGGAACUUUCAAUAGAAGUAUUCAGAGUUCCUCCUGUUCUUGGAUGAAGCCCGUGCCCCUCUUGGGAGUUAAGUGGGCCAGAUCUGAGUCUGUCUCUUCCCUGGUGCAGCUGCACUGAUUGGCUGAUUUACACACAGUCACUGAAAUAAGCGCAGUGGGAAUCUGAGGAAAGGAUGCUCUGUCAACCCUGCCGUGUGCUGGACAAAGGCGAGGGCUGCAGAGAGGCUGCUGAAUUUGAUGAGGACCUUUGAGAGGGCAGUUCUAACAAGAAGGCCACUGCGGAAGCCAGAGGAAGGGGGCUGCUGAGGAAACGGACGGAGGAAGUAGAGGAAGCAGGUGUGGGCCACGUGCUGGAGGCUUCUGACCCAGAAAGGAAGGAGGAAAUUUGGACAGUAACCAGAAGGAUUAGCUGGGUCAAGGGAAAAGACAUUUUACUCUAAUCUUAAGAAAAUAAGAGCUGUUCCUGUGGGAAGGUGGGAAGAAAGAUGCUUAGAGAGGAAGCCUGAGAAGGUGACAACUGUGGGAAUUGGAUCCUGGAUAAGGCGAAAGACAGGAAACAGGACAAAAUGUAAGAACAGUGAUGGCUUGAUCUCAUGUUCUAAGUUAUCUGAAGGAUCCUAAGCUUGAAAGAGACGGAGAGGGCUGUGGCUUUGGAACUAGACGGAGCUGGGUCAAACCCCAGUUAUCACACAGUAUUUGUGUCCCUUUAGACUCAAUUUCCUUACCUGUAAAAUGGGGAUGAUAUUACCUUAUGGAGUUGUUCUGGAUCAGAACUGAUUCAUAGGAAGUACUCAGUACUAACUUAGGGUAUUUAGUUGAUAAAUGGCCAUUAUUAGUCUUCUGCUGAAAUUUAGCGCUGGUAGGGAUAAUCUGGGGGCUUAAGAAGGUAAAGAUCUGGAAUCAGAACUACACAAAAGUUCUAUGGAACAGAAGAAAGGAUACUGGAAUUGCUGAGUAAGACCAGGAAGACCCACCUUCAGGGCUACAUGAUUCUGCCUCUCUCUCUAGUGGGGUGCUCUCUUCUGGGAGAAGUGGGGAAGUGCCGUAAUAGCUGGAUAUGCCUGUAAGAAUGCUGCAACCUUCAGAACCUGAGAAGACUUCUGGGUAACAACGAGAAUUCUCAGCCCAAUGCUGUUUUUACUUCCACAUCAGUGUUAUGCUUCUUGUCCUUUACCAAUGGUCCAUCAUGGGUACAAAUUAAAGCGUGACUAAGAA
Molecule: long non-coding RNA, 2130 nt
Organism: Equus caballus (horse)
Lineage: Eukaryota; Metazoa; Chordata; Mammalia; Perissodactyla; Equidae
Source: RefSeq, a predicted model, not a curated record